AUUAAAACAACUUCUAAUUGUGGAGGAAGACAGCACUUGGUACGGACUAGGUCCGUGUGAUGUGUAGCCGGUGACAUGCUGUUCUCCAGAUUCCAAGAUGCCCCUGAAGUUGCUGUGGCUGUCCUGGUGUGUGGGGGUGGUUGGAACAAAGAAUUCGUGACCAAUGUUCUUUUCCACACAGUUCACAAGGAGGCGGCAGGAAUGCUGUGUGAGCUAUUUUGGUCCUGGCUGCGUAGGAGUUGCUGGAGGCUGCUCUGGGGUUUGUGAAGGCCUCUACCUCUUAGGAGGUUUCUUCAGGGGAUGUCCUGUUCACUUUACAGGACACCAAAAGCCUUUAAUCAACUGCCUACUUUUAGUGCUGAAAUGGUGGAGGUGGCUGGCACAAACCAGAGUUUGCUGACUCCUUCCUUUUCUAGAGAGAGAAGAGCGGAGUGCAGAACACAAGGCCAACAAGGACCACUUGAGAGGCAGCUUCUCAGUGAUGCUGGGUUUGGCCACACGGUUUGCUUUGGAAAUGUGGAUAGUGACAAUGUGACAGUUCUGGGUCAAGGCCAUCCGAGGCAUCCUGUGUUUCAUCUUGCUCUGUAUUCCUGGGCUCUCUUCUGAGAAGAGUAGGCCCUAAGUAGCCGCUGGUCCAGAGAGAAUGAAGCCUGGGAAGCACACCUGAGGCCAAUCCUGGCCACAUCGGGCCUACAGACUCAUGGAUGAGAAAAUAAAUAUUGGUUGUUAUAAGCCA
This 736-nucleotide long non-coding RNA is filed under the name Felis catus (domestic cat). RNAcentral's name for it is "lncRNA (ENSFCAG00000045140.2)". The record is from RNAcentral. Lineage: Eukaryota; Metazoa; Chordata; Mammalia; Carnivora; Felidae.